Molecule: ribosomal RNA, 446 nt
Filed under: uncultured bacterium
Lineage: Bacteria
Description: bacterial SSU rRNA
Rfam family: Bacterial small subunit ribosomal RNA
Source: RNAcentral
GUCCAGACUCCUACGGGAGGCAGCAGUGGGGAACAUUGCACAAUGGGGGAAACCCUGAUGCAGCAACGCCGCGUGAGUGAAGAAGUAUUUCGGUAUGUAAAGCUCUAUCAGCAGGGAAGAAGAUGACGGUACCUGAGUAAGAAGCCCCGGCUAACUACGUGCCAGCAGCCGCGGUAAUACGUAGGGGGCAAGCGUUAUCCGGAUUUACUGGGUGUAAAGGGAGCGUAGACGGUGAGACAAGUCUGAAGUGAAAGCCCGGGGCUCAACCCCGGGACUGCUUUGGAAACUGCCUGACUGGAGUGCUGGAGAGGCAAGCGGAAUUCCUAGUGUAGCGGUGAAAUGCGUAGAUAUUAGGAAGAACACCAGUGGCGAAGGCGGCUUGCUGGACAGUAACUGACGUUGAGGCUCGAAAGCGUGGGGAGCAAACAGGAUUAGAUACCCUAGUA